GCGAGACUCUGUCUCAAAAAAAAAAAGAAAGAAAAAAAAGAGUAAGCAGGAGUUCACAAGGUGUGGGAGACUGCUGUGUGUUCACCAAGCCUCAUCUUUCACACCUGGGCACAUGUUGUAGCCCGUUUGCAAAGAUAGCCGUAAUAUUCUCCUGUCCCUGGACAUGCCCUUUGCAAGUUGAUUUUGCCAUUCCUCCCAUUGAGAAGGCACUUUGUCCCCUACUAGUCUGGGUAAGCCUUGAGAGUUGCUUUGACCAAUAGAAUUUGCUAGAAGUGAUAUUGAGCCUAGGCCUGAAGAGGCCUUGUAGCUUCCACUCCUGCCCUAAGACUGUUGCAUGAAGAUACCCAGACUAGUGUCUUUGCAGAUGAACAAUCAUGGUGAAAGAGAAGCCCAGCCGGCAGCCAGCACCAAUCGCCAGCUGUGUGAGUGUGGCCAUCCUGGAUCAUCCAGCCCCAGCUGCCCCACCAGCUGACAGCAGCCACACAAGUGACCCCAGUUGAGACCAAUAAAAGAUCUGCCCAUCUGAUACAGCCCAAACUGCUGAACCCCAGAAUCAUGAACAAAUAAGUAAAAGAAAAGAACACUGGUUGUAUUUUAUGGUUGCACUAUGUCCAGCAGAAAAAGGCAUUCCUCAGUCUCCUUGCAGCAAGCAUCAUCCCUCACCUGGACUCUGCAAAAGCCUACUCGUGGGUCUGUCUGCAUCCCUGUCUGCCUCCUCCAGGGCCAUUCUCCACCCAGUGGCCGGAUCGAUUUUUCAAAGAGGUUGAUCCCAGCUCAACCACUUGCCAUCUGUGUGACCUGUGGGCAAGUGACCUUACCUUUCGGAGCCUCAGUUGCCCCAUCUAUAAAAUGGGAAUGAUGCCAGUGCCUGCCUCAUAAGGAUGAGCCCCGCUCCUGAAGCUCAGGGAGCCCUCUCUGCAAGGCUGUUUUAGUGCAACCUCCGGAAACAUGCCCAUGCAUGUGAAAACUGGCAUGCACAUUCUGGUGCUUUUAAAAACAUCUCGAAGCCUAUCCACAGAUCCUGGACCUCAAGACUGGUUCAGUGCUAGCCCCCCAUUUUACAGAUGUGGAGAAUGAGGCUUAGCGGGUCCCAGGCAAGUCAGUGGCAAA
Molecule: long non-coding RNA, 1110 nt
Filed under: Homo sapiens (human)
Lineage: Eukaryota; Metazoa; Chordata; Mammalia; Primates; Hominidae
Description: HSALNT0398121
Source: RNAcentral